AGAGUUUGAUCAUGGCUCAGGAUGAACGCUAGCUACAGGCUUAACACAUGCAAGUCGAACGAGCGAGAGAGAGCUUGCUUUCUCGAGCGAGUGGCGAACGGGUGAGUAACGCGUGAGGAACCUGCCUCAAAGAGGGGGACAACAGUUGGAAACGACUGCUAAUACCGCAUAAGCCCACGGCUCGGCAUCGAGCAGAGGGAAAAGGAGCAAUCCGCUUUGAGAUGGCCUCGCGUCCGAUUAGCUAGUUGGUGAGGUAACGGCCACCAAGGCAACGAUCGGUAGCCGGACUGAGAGGUUGAACGGCCACAUUGGGACUGAGACACGGCCCAGACUCCUACGGGAGGCA
This 346-nucleotide ribosomal RNA is filed under the name uncultured bacterium. Its description in RNAcentral is "bacterial SSU rRNA". It matches the Rfam family "Bacterial small subunit ribosomal RNA", at positions 8 to 350 of the family's 1533-position model. The record is from RNAcentral.